This 627-nucleotide ribosomal RNA is filed under the name uncultured Russulaceae. Its description in RNAcentral is "LSU rRNA". It matches the Rfam family "Eukaryotic large subunit ribosomal RNA", at positions 47 to 649 of the family's 3401-position model. Lineage: Eukaryota; Fungi; Basidiomycota; Agaricomycetes; Russulales; Russulaceae. The record is from RNAcentral.
UAAGCGGAGNAAAGAAACUAACAAGGAUUCCCCUAGUAACUGCGAGUGAAGCGGGAAAAGCUCAAAUUUAAAAUNNGGUGGUCUUUGGCCAUNCGAGUUGUAAUCUAGAGAAGCGUCUUCCGCGCUGGACCGUGCACAAGUCUCCUGGAACGGAGCGUCGUAGAGGGUGAGAAUCCCGUCUUUGGCAUGGACACACCAGGGCUUUUGUGAUGNGCUCUCGAAGAGUCGAGUUGUUUGGGAAUGCAGCUCAAAAUGGGUGGUGAACUCCAUCUAAAGCUAAAUAUUGGCGAGAGACCGAUAGCGAACAAGUACCGUGAGGGAAAGAUGAAAAGCACUUUGGAAAGAGAGUGAAACAGUACGUGAAAUUGUUGAAAGGGAAACGCUUGAAGUCAGUCGCGUCGACCGAGACUCAGCCUCGCCUCGGCUUGGCGUACCUCUCGGCCCGACGGGUCAGCAUCAAUUUCGCCUCUUGGAUAAUGGCGAGGGAAACGUGACACCUUUACGGUGUGUUAUAGUCUCUCGUCGCAUGCAAGGGUCGGGAUUGAGGAACUCAGCACGCGCCUUUGGGCGUCGGGGCUUUGCCUACGAUACGUGCUUAGGAUGUUGGCGUAAUGGCUUUAAACGACC